Molecule: transfer RNA, 72 nt
Filed under: Ictidomys tridecemlineatus (thirteen-lined ground squirrel)
Lineage: Eukaryota; Metazoa; Chordata; Mammalia; Rodentia; Sciuridae
Also listed under: 1 other name
Description: Spermophilus tridecemlineatus (thirteen-lined ground squirrel) tRNA
Rfam family: tRNA
About the family: Transfer RNA (tRNA) molecules are approximately 80 nucleotides in length. Their secondary structure includes four short double-helical elements and three loops (D, anti-codon, and T loops).
Source: Rfam by way of RNAcentral
GGGGUUGUAGCUCAGUGGUAGAGUGCUUGCCUAGCACAUGUGAGGCACUGGGUUCUAUUCUCAGCACCACCU